GUAGUUAGCCGGGGCUUCCUCCUUGGCUACCGUCACUUUCUUCGUCACCAAGGACAGAGGUUUACAACCCGAAAGCCUUCUUCCCUCACGCGGCGUUGCUGGGUCAGGCUUGCGCCCAUUGCCCAAUAUUCCCCACUGCUGCCUCCCGUAGGAGUCUGGACCGUGUCUCAGUUCCAGUGUGGCCGAUCAGCCUCUCAGCUCGGCUACCCAUCGUUGGCUAGGUGGGCCGUUACCCCGCCUACUACCUAAUGGGACGCGAACCCCUCCUUUAGCGGAUUUCUCCUUUGACCUCUGUGUCAUGCGGCACUGUGGUCUUAUGCGGUAUUAGCACCUGUUUCCAAGUGUUAUCCCCCUCUAAAGGGCAGGUUGUUCACGCGUUACUCACCCGUUCGCCGCUAAGUUAAAAGUCGUCCAUCCGAAAACUUCAGACUAAUUAACUCCGCUCGACUUGCAUGUGUUAGGCGCGCCGCCAGCGUUCGUCCUAAGCCAGGAUCAAACUCUGA
Molecule: ribosomal RNA, 503 nt
Filed under: uncultured bacterium
Lineage: Bacteria
Description: partial 16S ribosomal RNA
Source: RNAcentral